Molecule: ribosomal RNA, 944 nt
Filed under: uncultured bacterium
Lineage: Bacteria
Description: bacterial SSU rRNA
Rfam family: Bacterial small subunit ribosomal RNA
Source: RNAcentral
CGAUUGAGAGUGGCGAACGGGUGAGUAACACGUAGUUCACCUGCCCCAAAGAGCGGGACAACAGUUGGAAACGGCUGCUAAUACCGCAUACCCUCGCAAGAGGAAAGCUCAGGCGCUUUGGGAUGGGACUGCGAACCAUCAGCUAGUUGGUGCGGUAAAGGCGCACCAAGGCGACGACGGUUAGGGGACCUGAGAGGGUGACCCCCCACACUGGGACUGAGACACGGCCCAGACUCCUACGGGAGGCAGCAGUGAGGAAUAUUGCCCAAUGGAGGCAACUCUGAGGCAGCGACGCCGCGUGGGCGAAGACGGGUUUCGGCCUGUAAAGUCCUUUUCUGUGUGACGAGAGUGGACGGUAGCACAGGAAUAAGUCUCGGCUAACCACGUGCCAGCAGCCGCGGUAAAACGUAGGAGGCAAGCGUUAUCCGGAGUUACUGGGCGUAAAGCGCGUGCAGGCGGAUCGAUAAGUCGACCAUGAAAGCUCCCGGCUAAACUGGGGGAGGUUGAGCGAAACUGUCGGUCUAGAGUGGAGAAGAGGAAAGCGGAAUUCCGCGUGUAGUGGUGAAAUGCGUAGAGAUGCGGAAGAACACCAGUGGCGAAGGCGGCUUUCUGGUCUCCAACUGACGCUCAGACGCGAAAGCGUGGGUAGCGAACGGGAUUAGAAACCCCGGUAGUCCAUGCCGUAAACGAUGCACACUAAACGUUCGCAGUCCUACGGGGCUGUGGGUGUUGAAGCUAACGCGAUAAGUGUGCCGCCUGGGGAGUACGGUCGCAAGGCUAAAACUCAAAGGAACUGACGGGGGCCCGCACAAGCAGCGGAGCGUGUGUUUAAUUCGAGGAUACGCGAAGAACCUUACCUGGGUUUGACAUCGCUUGACGAGCUAUGAAAGUAGCUGUUCCUUCGGGACAGCAGACAGUGCUGCAUGGUUGUCGUCAGCUCGUGC